Molecule: ribosomal RNA, 2900 nt
Filed under: Klebsiella pneumoniae
Lineage: Bacteria; Pseudomonadati; Pseudomonadota; Gammaproteobacteria; Enterobacterales; Enterobacteriaceae
Also listed under: 3 other names
Description: bacterial LSU rRNA
Rfam family: Bacterial large subunit ribosomal RNA
Source: RNAcentral
UUAAGCGACUAAGCGUACACGGUGGAUGCCCUGGCAGUCAGAGGCGAUGAAGGACGUGCUAAUCUGCGAAAAGCGUCGGUAAGGUGAUAUGAACCGUUAUAACCGGCGAUGUCCGAAUGGGGAAACCCAGUGCAAUUCGUUGCACUAUCGUUAACUGAAUACAUAGGUUAACGAGGCGAACCGGGGGAACUGAAACAUCUAAGUACCCCGAGGAAAAGAAAUCAACCGAGAUUCCCCCAGUAGCGGCGAGCGAACGGGGAGCAGCCCAGAGUCUGAAUCAGCUUGUGUGUUAGUGGAACGGUCUGGAAAGUCCGACGGUACAGGGUGAUAGUCCCGUACACCAAAAUGCACAGGUUGUGAACUCGAAGAGUAGGGCGGGACACGUGGUAUCCUGUCUGAAUAUGGGGGGACCAUCCUCCAAGGCUAAAUACUCCUGACUGACCGAUAGUGAACCAGUACCGUGAGGGAAAGGCGAAAAGAACCCCGGCGAGGGGAGUGAAAAAGAACCUGAAACCGUGUACGUACAAGCAGUGGGAGCACCUUCGGGUGUGACUGCGUACCUUUUGUAUAAUGGGUCAGCGACUUAUAUUCUGUAGCAAGGUUAACCGUAUAGGGGAGCCGCAGGGAAACCGAGUCUUAACUGGGCGUUAAGUUGCAGGGUAUAGACCCGAAACCCGGUGAUCUAGCCAUGGGCAGGUUGAAGGUUGGGUAACACUAACUGGAGGACCGAACCGACUAAUGUUGAAAAAUUAGCGGAUGACUUGUGGCUGGGGGUGAAAGGCCAAUCAAACCGGGAGAUAGCUGGUUCUCCCCGAAAGCUAUUUAGGUAGCGCCUCGUGAAUUCAUCUUCGGGGGUAGAGCACUGUUUCGGCUAGGGGGUCAUCCCGACUUACCAACCCGAUGCAAACUACGAAUACCGAAGAAUGUUAUCACGGGAGACACACGGCGGGUGCUAACGUCCGUCGUGAAGAGGGAAACAACCCAGACCGCCAGCUAAGGUCCCAAAGUCAUGGUUAAGUGGGAAACGAUGUGGGAAGGCACAGACAGCCAGGAUGUUGGCUUAGAAGCAGCCAUCAUUUAAAGAAAGCGUAAUAGCUCACUGGUCGAGUCGGCCUGCGCGGAAGAUGUAACGGGGCUAAACCAUGCACCGAAGCUGCGGCAGCGACACUAUGUGUUGUUGGGUAGGGGAGCGUUCUGUAAGCCUGCGAAGGUGACCUGUGAGGGUUGCUGGAGGUAUCAGAAGUGCGAAUGCUGACAUAAGUAACGAUAAAGCGGGUGAAAAGCCCGCUCGCCGGAAGACCAAGGGUUCCUGUCCAACGUUAAUCGGGGCAGGGUGAGUCGACCCCUAAGGCGAGGCCGAAAGGCGUAGUCGAUGGGAAACAGGUUAAUAUUCCUGUACUUGGUGUUACUGCGAAGGGGGGACGGAGAAGGCUAUGUUAGCCGGGCGACGGUUGUCCCGGUUUAAGCAUGUAGGCUGGUUGUCCAGGCAAAUCCGGAUAAUCAAGGCUGAGGUGUGAUGACGAGGCACUACGGUGCUGAAGUAACAAAUGCCCUGCUUCCAGGAAAAGCCUCUAAGCAUCAGGUAACAUUAAAUCGUACCCCAAACCGACACAGGUGGUCAGGUAGAGAAUACCAAGGCGCUUGAGAGAACUCGGGUGAAGGAACUAGGCAAAAUGGUGCCGUAACUUCGGGAGAAGGCACGCUGGUGUGUAGGUGAAGUCCCUGCGGAUGGAGCUGAGACCAGUCGAAGAUACCAGCUGGCUGCAACUGUUUAUUAAAAACACAGCACUGUGCAAACACGAAAGUGGACGUAUACGGUGUGACGCCUGCCCGGUGCCGGAAGGUUAAUUGAUGGGGUUAUCCGUAAGGAGAAGCUCUUGAUCGAAGCCCCGGUAAACGGCGGCCGUAACUAUAACGGUCCUAAGGUAGCGAAAUUCCUUGUCGGGUAAGUUCCGACCUGCACGAAUGGCGUAAUGAUGGCCAGGCUGUCUCCACCCGAGACUCAGUGAAAUUGAACUCGCUGUGAAGAUGCAGUGUACCCGCGGCAAGACGGAAAGACCCCGUGAACCUUUACUAUAGCUUGACACUGAACAUUGAGCCUUGAUGUGUAGGAUAGGUGGGAGGCUUUGAAGCGUGGACGCCAGUCUGCGUGGAGCCAACCUUGAAAUACCACCCUUUAAUGUUUGAUGUUCUAACGUUGGCCCCUUACCGGGGUUGCGGACAGUGUCUGGUGGGUAGUUUGACUGGGGCGGUCUCCUCCCAAAGCGUAACGGAGGAGCACGAAGGUUAGCUAAUCCUGGUCGGACAUCAGGAGGUUAGUGCAAUGGCAUAAGCUAGCUUGACUGCGAGCGUGACGGCGCGAGCAGGUGCGAAAGCAGGUCAUAGUGAUCCGGUGGUUCUGAAUGGAAGGGCCAUCGCUCAACGGAUAAAAGGUACUCCGGGGAUAACAGGCUGAUACCGCCCAAGAGUUCAUAUCGACGGCGGUGUUUGGCACCUCGAUGUCGGCUCAUCACAUCCUGGGGCUGAAGUAGGUCCCAAGGGUAUGGCUGUUCGCCAUUUAAAGUGGUACGCGAGCUGGGUUUAGAACGUCGUGAGACAGUUCGGUCCCUAUCUGCCGUGGGCGCUGGAGAAUUGAGGGGGGCUGCUCCUAGUACGAGAGGACCGGAGUGGACGCAUCACUGGUGUUCGGGUUGUCAUGCCAAUGGCACUGCCCGGUAGCUAAAUGCGGAAGAGAUAAGUGCUGAAAGCAUCUAAGCACGAAACUUGCCCCGAGAUGAGUUCUCCCUGAGACUUUAAGUCUCCUGAAGGAACGUUAAAGACGAUGACGUUGAUAGGCCGGGUGUGUAAGCGCAGCGAUGCGUUGAGCUAACCGGUACUAAUGAACCGUGAGGCUUAACCUU